Molecule: small nucleolar RNA, 130 nt
Organism: Grammomys surdaster
Lineage: Eukaryota; Metazoa; Chordata; Mammalia; Rodentia; Muridae
Product: small nucleolar RNA SNORA17
Exons: 1
Source: RefSeq, a predicted model, not a curated record
UCUUCCCCUAGAUCAUUGGCUGGUGGUAGUUGUGUCUCAUGUGCCUCAGUAGGUGUCAGAGAACAGAGAGGGUAUAUCUAAGCUCAGUGUUGUGGACUGAGAUCAUCUGAAGAAUGAAGAGUAUAACACA